GUUGUUUGCCUGCUUAUUCGUAUCUUUGCAGCGCACAAGAGUAAGGGAAUGGGGUGAGAAUCCCCAACUGUCCCGCAGCUGUAAGCAACCGAAUACGGGGUGAACACUAUGUCACUGAUAUUCUUGGGAAGACGUUCGCUCCUUAAGUUGCAAAGUCAGAAGACCUGCUUGUGUUUCAAAUGCUGA
RNAcentral lists this non-coding RNA (186 nucleotides) under Prevotellaceae bacterium HUN156. RNAcentral also lists the same sequence under 1 other name. The record is from RNAcentral. Lineage: Bacteria; Pseudomonadati; Bacteroidota; Bacteroidia; Bacteroidales; Prevotellaceae.